RNAcentral lists this ribosomal RNA (497 nucleotides) under uncultured bacterium. RNAcentral describes it as "partial 16S ribosomal RNA". It matches the Rfam family "Bacterial small subunit ribosomal RNA", at positions 28 to 507 of the family's 1533-position model. The record is from RNAcentral.
GAUGAACGCUGGCGGCGUGCCUAAUACAUGCAAGUCGAGCGAACGGACGAGAAGCUUGCUUCUCUGAUGUUAGCGGCGGACGGGUGAGUAACACGUGGAUAACCUACCUAUAAGACUGGGAUAACUUCGGGAAACCGGAGCUAAUACCGGAUAAUAUUUUGAACCGCAUGGUUCAAAAGUGAAAGACGGUCUUGCUGUCACUUAUAGCUGGAUCCGCGCUGCAUUAGCUAGUUGGUAAGGUAACGGCUUACCAAGGCAACGAUGCAUAGCCGACCUGAGAGGGUGAUCGGCCACACUGGAACUGAGACACGGUCCAGACUCCUACGGGAGGAAGCAGUAGGGAAUCUUCCGCAAUGGGCGAAAGCCUGACGGAGCAACGCCGCGUGAGUGAUGAAGGUCUUCGGAUCGUAAAACUCUGUUAUUAGGGAAGAACAUAUGUGUAAGUAACUGUGCACAUCUUGACGGUACCUAAUCAGAAAGCAACGGCUAACUACGUG